Molecule: ribosomal RNA, 119 nt
Organism: Piliocolobus tephrosceles (Ugandan red Colobus)
Lineage: Eukaryota; Metazoa; Chordata; Mammalia; Primates; Cercopithecidae
Source: Ensembl
GUCUACGGCCAUGUCACCUUGAAUGCGCGAGAUCUUGUCUGUUCUUGGAACCUAAGCAGGGUCUGGCUUGGUUAGGACUUCCAUGGAACACUGGCUGGGAAUAUUGGGUGCUGUAGGUU